GUGAAUCAUCGAAUCUUUGAACGCACCUUGCACUCUUUGGUAUUCCGAAGAGUAUGUCUGUUUGAGUGUCAUGAAACUCUCAACCCCCUCAUUUUGUAAUGGAAUGAGCUGUGGGCUUGGAUUGUGGCUGUCUGUCGGCGUAAAUGCCGGCUCAGCUGAAAUUGACGAGCGACCCAGUUUGAAUACCAGACGGCUUGACUCGGCGUAAUAACUAUUUCGCUGAGGACGUCUAACUUUCAAAUCGUUAGUGGUGCUUCUAAUGCAUUUAUAAUUUAAGCUUUAGACCUCAAAUCAGUCAGGACUACCCGCUGAACUUAA
Molecule: ribosomal RNA, 318 nt
Filed under: uncultured fungus
Lineage: Eukaryota; Fungi
Description: eukaryotic LSU rRNA
Rfam family: 5.8S ribosomal RNA (bases 1-71)
Source: RNAcentral